This 75-nucleotide transfer RNA is filed under the name Inquilinus limosus. Its description in RNAcentral is "tRNA-Met". It matches the Rfam family "tRNA". Rfam says of the family: Transfer RNA (tRNA) molecules are approximately 80 nucleotides in length. Lineage: Bacteria; Pseudomonadati; Pseudomonadota; Alphaproteobacteria; Rhodospirillales; Rhodospirillaceae. The record is from RNAcentral. RNAcentral also lists the same sequence under 10 other names.
GGCUGGGUAGCUCAGUGGUAGAGCAGGGGAAUCAUAAUCCCUUGGUCGGGGGUUCAAAUCCCUCCCCAGCUACCA